This 120-nucleotide ribosomal RNA is filed under the name Anser brachyrhynchus (Pink-footed goose). The record is from RNAcentral. Lineage: Eukaryota; Metazoa; Chordata; Aves; Anseriformes; Anatidae.
CACUAUAGCCAUACUCAACUGAACGCAUCUCAGAAAAGUCUAAUCUUGAAAGCUAAACUGUCCCAGGCCUAGAUGGUACUUGGAGGAGAGACCACCUCCGAAUCCCAAGUACUACAGGUA